GUGGGGAAUUUUGGACAAUGGGCGCAAGCCUGAUCCAGCAAUGCCGCGUGCAGGAAGAAGGCCUUCGGGUUGUGAACUGCUUUUGUACGGAACGAAACGGUCCUGGUUAAUAUCCGGGGCUAAUGACGGUACCGUAAGAAUAAGCACCGGCUAACUACGUGCCAGCAGCCGCGGUAAUACGUAGGGUGCGAGCGUUAAUCGGAAUUACUGGGCGUAAAGCGUGCGCAGGCGGUGUUGUAAGACAGGCGUGAAAUCCCCGGGCUCAACCUGGGAAUUGCGCUUGUGACUGCAAGGCUGGAGUGCGGCAGAGGGGGAUGGAAUUCCGCGUGUAGCAGUGAAAUGCGUAGAUAUGCGGAGGAACACCGAUGGCGAAGGCAAUCCCCUGGGCCUGCACUGACGCUCAUGCACGAAAGCGUGGGGAGCAAACAGGAUUAGAUACCCGGGUAGUCC
Molecule: ribosomal RNA, 450 nt
Filed under: uncultured bacterium
Lineage: Bacteria
Description: bacterial SSU rRNA
Rfam family: Bacterial small subunit ribosomal RNA
Source: RNAcentral